GAUGAGCGCUGGCGGCGUGCCUAAUACAUGCAAGUCGAACGAAGAUCUAGCUUGCUAGAUCUUAGUGGCGAACGGGUGAGUAAUACAUAAAUAAUCUGCCCAUAUGACUGGGAUAACUAUUGGAAACGAUAGCUAAUACCGGAUAGGUUGAUUGGAGGCAUCUCUGAUUAAUUAGAGUAGGAUUUCUACACAAAUGGAUGAGUUUAUGGCGCAUUAGUUAGUUGGUGGGGUAACGGCCUACCAAGACGAUGAUGCGUAGCCGACCUGAGAGGGUGACCGGCCACAGUGGGACUGAGACACGGCCCAGACUCCUACGGGAGUCAGCAGUAGGGAAUUUUCGGCAAUGGGCGCAAGCCUGACCGAGCAACGCCGCGUGAGUGAUUAAGGCCUUCGGGUUGUAAAGCUCUGUUGUAAGGGAAGAACAUUCAGGAUAGGAAAUGACCUUGAACUGACGGUACCUUACCAGAAAGCCACGGCUAACUACGUGCCAGCAGCCGCCGUAA
RNAcentral lists this ribosomal RNA (503 nucleotides) under uncultured bacterium. RNAcentral describes it as "partial 16S ribosomal RNA". It matches the Rfam family "Bacterial small subunit ribosomal RNA", at positions 28 to 523 of the family's 1533-position model. The record is from RNAcentral.